CGUUUUUUGUUUGAUUCAGCUCGUCUGUUUUGGCGUGGCUCGCUUUUCGUUUGUCUAGUUCGUUCGUUUUGCUGUUUUGCUUCGUCCGAUUUCGGUCGUUUUGUUAGCAUAGGAUUGCUUCUUUGUGUCAUAGCGUGUGUAAAUUCGUCGGGUUUAUUCCGUGAUGGCGUCGUUUGUUUUGGAGGAGUUUCUGGCGGAUCCGUCGCUGGAUCUCCUUCGUAAAUUGCGGAAGGAUGCCUUGGUGGCGUUAGCUAUUCAUUCUGGUGUCUCUGUUCCUAAAACUGUUCUCAAGAAAGAUUUGAGAGCUCUUGUUGUUAGUGUGUUGGUGGACAGGGGAGUUAUUGUGUUGCCGGACAGGGGAGUUACUGUGUUGCCGGUGCUGUCUGAUUUGCCUGUGGGUACUCCUGUGCUUGAGGGGGCGGUAACCCUCGAUCCUCCAGGAGAGGAGGAGAAGCCGGCCGAGCGGAUUCCCUCAGAGCCGGGUGAGGUAGGCGUGCGGCCUGACGCGCCGUUUACACUACCUCGCUACGAUCCUCUCUCCUCCGUCAGCACUGAGAGGCCAGACUGAAAGUGCGGUUGGCCCGACUCCAAAUGAAAGCUCAGGAAAAAGCUGAGGUACGGCAGAAUCAGCUAAAGUUGAAGAUUCGCAAGUUAGAAAUUGAGGCUGACAAGGAAGUCCGCCUGCGUCAGCUGGAGCUACAAGCUCAGCUGAGCCCAGCAUCGGCUGCAUCUCCAGAUACAGGCUGCCGGCAAUCCGCUCCACCUGUGCUGGGUAAUUCGAAUCAGGUGCUGUGCCCUCGUCAGCCAAUCCGGUGCGGCCCUGGUUCAGCAUAAGAAGCCGGAGUGCCUGAGAAUCGUCGGCAGACUGGAGUACAGUGGUACUCCAGUCUUGCCCAUGUGCCUCAUCGUCUUAGAAACUUUGUUAACCAUCCGGUCGCUCUGUUAUUGUGGAGGCACUAGUCUUUUCAUUGCUGUUUGUUACACACGCUGUGUUUAGGUUUAUUGGGUACAUUUAGGAUCUUUUUGUUAAAUUGAUAGCUCUAGUUUAGAGUCUCUUUUUGUUCUCAUUUAUAUUUAUUUUUACGUCGUGACUAGUGUCCUCCGUUUCUCUUUAAUUUUGUACCUCAUUUUCAUUUCUUCAGAAUAAAUAUCUUUAAAGCCAUAA
Molecule: long non-coding RNA, 1165 nt
Organism: Acanthochromis polyacanthus (spiny chromis)
Lineage: Eukaryota; Metazoa; Chordata; Actinopteri; Pomacentridae
Exons: 2
Source: RefSeq, a predicted model, not a curated record